AUUUAAAAUUAAUUUAAUUUUUUUUAGUUAAAUUUAAAAUUUAAAUAAAGAUAUAGAAAUUAAAAUUUUUUAGUAUUAAUUGGAAAAAAAAGUUAUAAUUUUUUAAUUGUAAGAGUAUUUUGAAAUUAAAAAAAGAAAAUUUUGUUUAUUGUACCUUUUGUAUCAGGGAUUAUUAAAAUUAAAUAUUAAAAUUAAUAUAUCUCGAAUUAAAAAGAGCUAAUUUAAUAUUAUAGUUAAUGUAGAAUAAUUAUUAUAAAUUUUAAAUUUGAAGUGAAAUGUUAAACGAUUUUUAAGAUAUCUAGUUUUUUAAUAUAAAAAUUUAAUUUUUUUAUAAAUUAGAUUAUUAAUAAUUAAAGAUUUUUAAUUGUUUUAUAAAGAAGAAUUUAUGGGAUUAUCUAUAAAUUUAAAUUAAAUGAUAAAUUUAAAAUUUAAAAUUUAGAAAUUAAAAUUUUUAAAAUUUAAAAGUUUUUAAUAAUUUAUUAUUUAAAGGGUAAUUUGAUUUUUAAGGUUAUUAAUUUAUUAUUAAAAUAAAUUUAUAAAUUUUUUAUAAAUUAAAAUAAUGAUAAUAUUAGUAUAAAUAAAUUGUUAAAUUAAUUAAAUUAUAAAAUUAAUUUAAGGAAUUAAGCAAAUUUUAAAAUUCACUUGUUUAUCAAAAACAUGUUUUUUUGAAAUUAAUAAAAAAUUUUCUCUGCCCAAUGAUAAAUUAAAUGGCCGCGGUAUUUUGACUGUGCAAAGGUAGCAUAAUAAAUAGUUUUUUAAUUGAAGACUAGAAUGAAUGAGAGGAUGAAAUUUUAACUGUCUCAAUUUAAUUAUAAAAUUUUAUUUUAAGUUAAAAUUCUUAAAUAAAUUUAAGGGACGAGAAGACCCUAUAGAAUUUAAAAAUUAAAUUUAAUUUUAGAGUUAAUAUUAUAUUGAAAUUAUUUAAAGAUUUUUUUAUUGGGAUGAUAUUUAAAUUUAAAUAACUUAAAAUUAUUAAAUUCAAUGAUUAAUGAAUUUAAGAAUAAAUUUAAUAAAUAAAAGAUAAAAUUACCUUAGGGAUAACAGCGUAAUAAAUUUUUAAAGUUCAAAUUAAAAAAUUUGAUUGCGACCUCGAUGUUGAAUUAAAAUAAAAUUUAAGUGGAGAAGC
This 1126-nucleotide ribosomal RNA is filed under the name Chrysis ignita. RNAcentral describes it as "partial 16S ribosomal RNA". Lineage: Eukaryota; Metazoa; Arthropoda; Insecta; Hymenoptera; Chrysididae. The record is from RNAcentral.